Molecule: ribosomal RNA, 685 nt
Filed under: uncultured bacterium
Lineage: Bacteria
Description: bacterial SSU rRNA
Rfam family: Bacterial small subunit ribosomal RNA
Source: RNAcentral
UGCAAGUCGAGCGCUGAUUUCGGGGUAGCAAUAUUCCGGAGUCGGAGCGGCGCAAGGGUGCGUAACACGUGGGUAAUCUGCCAUGAAGUCUGGAAUAACUUGCUGAAAGGCGAGCUAAUACCGGAUGUGACGAUCGGGAGACAUCUCCUGGUUUUCAAAGUUGGGGACCGUAAGGCCUGACGCUUCAUGAUGAACCCGCGGCCUAUCAGCUAGUUGGUGAGGUAACGGCCCACCAAGGCUAAGACGGGUAGCUGGUCUGAGAGGACGACCAGCCACACUGGAACUGAGACACGGUCCAGACACCUACGGGUGGCAGCAGUCGAGAAUUUUUCACAAUGGGCGCAAGCCUGAUGGAGCGACGCCGCGUGGGGGAUGAAUGGCUUCGGCCCGUAAACCCCUGUCAUUCGCGAUCAAACCUUGUUAUUUAAAAGAUGACGAGCUGAUAGUAGCGGAAGAGGAAGGGACGGCUAACUCUGUGCCAGCAGCCGCGGUAAUACAGAGGUCCCAAGCGUUGUUCGGAUUCACUGGGCGUAAAGGGUGCGUAGGUGGUGAGGUAAGUCGGAUGUGAAAGCUCGGAGCUCAACUCCGAAAUGGCAUUGGAAACUACCUUGNUCGAGGAAUGGAGGGGGGACUGGAAUUCUCGGUGUAGCAGUGAAAUGCGUAGAUAUCGAGAGGAACACCAGUG